This 238-nucleotide ribosomal RNA is filed under the name uncultured bacterium. RNAcentral describes it as "partial 16S ribosomal RNA". It matches the Rfam family "Bacterial small subunit ribosomal RNA", at positions 523 to 760 of the family's 1533-position model. The record is from RNAcentral.
AUACGGAGGAUGCGAGCGUUAUCCGGAUUUAUUGGGUUUAAAGGGUGCGUAGGCGGAUUAAUAAGUCAGUGGUGAAAUACUGCAGCUUAACUGUAGAAUUGCCGUUGAUACUGUUAGUCUUGAGUAUGGUCAAGGUAGGCGGAAUGUGUAAUGUAGCGGUGAAAUGCAUAGAUAUCACGCAGAACUCCGAUUGCGAAGGCAGCUUACUAAGCUACAACUGACACUGAAGCACGAAAGC